GGUUUCAUGGUGUAAUGCUCAGUACUCUGGACUUUGAAUCCAGAGAUCCGAGUUCAAAUCUUGGUAGAACGU
This is a transfer RNA of Loxodonta africana (African savanna elephant), 72 nucleotides long. It matches the Rfam family "tRNA". From Rfam's summary of the family: Transfer RNA (tRNA) molecules are approximately 80 nucleotides in length. Their secondary structure includes four short double-helical elements and three loops (D, anti-codon, and T loops). Lineage: Eukaryota; Metazoa; Chordata; Mammalia; Proboscidea; Elephantidae. The record is from Rfam.